This 232-nucleotide ribosomal RNA is filed under the name uncultured bacterium. RNAcentral describes it as "partial 16S ribosomal RNA". It matches the Rfam family "Bacterial small subunit ribosomal RNA", at positions 99 to 334 of the family's 1533-position model. The record is from RNAcentral.
CGGACGGGUGAGGAAUACAUAGGAAUUUGCCCUUAAGUGGGGGAUAGUCCGGGGAAACUCGGUUUAAUACCGCAUGAUCUCGUGAGAGCAAAGCAGGGGACCGCAAGGCCUUGCGCUUUUGGAGAAGCCUAUGUCGGAUUAGCUAGUAGGCGGGGUAAUGGCCCACCUAGGCAACGAUCCGUAGCUGGUCUGAGAGGACGAUCAGCCACACCGGAACUGAGACACGGUCCGG